GACGAACGCUGGCGGCGUGCUUAACACAUGCAAGUCGAGCGGAAACGCCCUGCUUUUGUGGGGUGCUCGAGUGGCGAACGGGUGAGUAACACGUAAGUAACCUGCCCUUGACUUUGGCAUAACUUCAGGAAACUGGGGCUAAUACCGGAUAGGAGCUCCUGCUGCAUGGUGGGGGUUGGAAAGUUUCGGCGGUUGGGGAUGGACUCGCGGCUUAUCAGCUUGUUGGUGGGGUAGUGGCUUACCAAGGCUUUUACGGGUAGCCGGCCUGAGAGGGUGACCGGCCACAUUGGGACUGAGAUACGGCACAGACUACUACGGGAGGCAGCAGUGGGGAAUAUUGCACGAUGGGCGGAAGCCUGAUGCAGCAACGCCGCGUGAGGGAUGACGGACUUCGGGUAGUAAACCGCAUUCGCCUGUGACGAAGCGUGAGUGACGGUAAUGGGUAAAGAAGCACCGGCUAACUACGUG
RNAcentral lists this ribosomal RNA (468 nucleotides) under uncultured bacterium. RNAcentral's name for it is "partial 16S ribosomal RNA". It matches the Rfam family "Bacterial small subunit ribosomal RNA", at positions 28 to 507 of the family's 1533-position model. The record is from RNAcentral.